CUACGGGCCGCUCCAGUGAGGAAUAUUGCACAAUGGGGGGAACCCUGAUGCAGCAACGCCGCGUGGAGGAUGACGCAUUUCGGUGUGUAAACUCCUUUUAUAUGUCAAGAAAAUGACGGUAGCAUAUGAAUAAGCACCGGCGUAACUCCGUGCCAGCAGCCGCGGUAAUACGGAGGGUGCAAGCGCUACUCGGAAUCACUGGGCGUAAAGGACGCGUAGGCGGGUUGGAAAGUCAGGUGUGAAAUCCUACAGCUUAACUGUAGAACUGCACUUGAAACUUCUAAUCUAGAGUAUGGGAGGGGGAGAUGGAAUUAGUGGUGUAGGGGUAAAAUCCGUAGAUAUCACUAGGAAUACCUAAAGCGAAGGCGAUCUCCUGGAACAUUACUGACGCUAAGGCGUGAAAGCGUGGGGAGCAAACAGGAUUAGAUACCCGAGUAGUC
This 440-nucleotide ribosomal RNA is filed under the name uncultured bacterium. Its description in RNAcentral is "partial 16S ribosomal RNA". It matches the Rfam family "Bacterial small subunit ribosomal RNA", at positions 339 to 795 of the family's 1533-position model. The record is from RNAcentral.